GAUGGAGUGCAUCUGCCCCAAGUGGAGGCAGCAGCAGCAGCAGGAGGGAGGUGUCGGGGCAGUGGGGCCGCAGGGCCAGUCCUCAGGUUGGUUACUCAGUUGUCCUCCCUGGUCUGUCCUCAAGGCGUGAUUUGGGCUGGGGUUCUGGCUGCCGUCCAGCCCUCCCUGGUUGCUGUGAGCCUGGCUCUCUAGCCAGCCCUAGAAGUCCGUGAGUUAGUUCUCUGUUGCUUGCAACCAAGAACCCUGACAAGAAAGAAAACUGGCUCAGAGAGGCUGAGUAACCUGCUCAAGAUGACACAGCUUGUGGGUGGCUGAGUUGGCCUUCCAACCCAGAUUCCUGUCAUGUUCCUCAAGCCGACAGGUUCAGCUUGGUUGUGACCUCUGCUAGAAGCCCUCCCUGGCCUCCCUGUGCACUGAGCUGGUGGUUCCUCCUUUGCGCCCCAGGUACAUGCUCAGAUCUGUGUACCCUACACUUUGUCCUCCAGCUUCGUGUUUGGAUGUUCACAACUCCCAUGAGAAGGGCCCCCGAGAGCUGGCACAGUGCAUGUGUUUCCUCUCCAGACUUCUACAAACCUGGCACAUAAUUGUUUGCUGAAAGAUGGCAUGUUCCUAAAACAGAGGAAGUAGAACCGAAUAAAGCGAAAUCCAACUUCCCA
Molecule: long non-coding RNA, 656 nt
Filed under: Homo sapiens (human)
Lineage: Eukaryota; Metazoa; Chordata; Mammalia; Primates; Hominidae
Description: HSALNT0302099
Source: RNAcentral